Molecule: long non-coding RNA, 595 nt
Organism: Ornithorhynchus anatinus (platypus)
Lineage: Eukaryota; Metazoa; Chordata; Mammalia; Monotremata; Ornithorhynchidae
Exons: 2
Source: RefSeq, a predicted model, not a curated record
AUAAUGAAAAUAUGCAUUCUGGCUGAACUGAGUGCACUUACAAAUGGAGAAUUAAGACCAGAGAACCAACUCCAGCCAGAGCAGUGCUUCAUGAACUCAUAAUGGGAAUCCAGAAGAGCUGAGCAAUGGAAUGCCUCAAAGUCAAGAGAGCAGAAAGGAGAAGAAGCAGAAGUCAGCGACCUGGAUAAUCCACAAACUGGAUCAUCAACUCCUGUAUAACUGAGACUUGACUGUUUUUCCAACUAAUGGAAAGUUUUGCUUACCAGCCAGGAAAAGGGAUGGAGUGGAGGCAAUGAGUUUGAGGUUAUUUCUCUUUUCUCUCUGAAGCUCCCGUUUACAGGAAUCAGAGCCACACAGGUGAACUGGAGAAUAGGCUCUUUUUGAAUGGUCUGAAAGAUAUUCCCAGAAGCAGCACAGAUUAGAAAUGGAAAGUACACAUCGGUUAUGGAGAGUGGAGAGAGCUUCCUUCAGAACUGUUUACAACACUGUACUCCUUAAAUAUACAUGUCCGUAGGUUAAAACCUUCUAAUUAUAUUAGGAACAUUUCAAAUAAGAAGCCUUUAAUAAAGGGAAACACAUGGUGCUAUUUAAUCUA